Molecule: long non-coding RNA, 864 nt
Organism: Lathyrus oleraceus (garden pea)
Lineage: Eukaryota; Viridiplantae; Streptophyta; Magnoliopsida; Fabales; Fabaceae
Exons: 2
Source: RefSeq, a predicted model, not a curated record
AUCACCUCACAAACCCUCACUCUCACAAAGGACGAAAAAAGAAAAUAAAAAGGACCUACCACUAAAAAACGUCUCUCUCUCUGCUCAUGAAUAAAGGAAUUGAAAAAAGAUCCUCUCUCCACUCAUAAUCUGGCUCAGUUGGAAAAAACAAAAAUAAAGAAGAAAAAAAGAUGAACUACUGUUCAUCUUCCUAAACAACCAAAACUUUCGCCGCUCUCGCACCACCGCCGGAAGCUGCAUUACUCCCACCCUAUUCAAAUCAUCUUCGUACACCUCAAACACAACCAUAUCUUCUUUCCGUGGAAACCCACUCGACCUCAUCCGCCGCCGGAAAUCUCCACUACAUCCUCCGUCCAUAGCCGCGAGCCACUAAACCAUUUCUUCUUCGAACUACCCUUCAGCUACCGUUAUCUUUCCACCGAAAUCCUUCCAUCACCGACACACCGUGACCUCCAGAUUCCGCCGGAGCAACAAUAACAGAACCCGAUGAGACACCUUUACUCCACCGCGUUUCAAAUCAAGCUUAUGAAGUGAUCAAAUAAGGAGAUAUUGAUAGAAGGAGGGAGGGGCUUUGUUUAUGUUCAUAGGGGUUGGAGUAGUUUCUACUUAAUUUGAAAAUGCAGAGUGAUGCGAGAGUAAGAGUUGGCAUCCAUUUUUUUCCUUCUUUCCUUUUUUUGAAUUUUGGAUCUUGGUUUUAUUAUUAUUUCUUAUUUUAAUUUCUAAUUUUUAUAAUUUUUGUAUAAAUCAUGUAUUGGGCUUUUAUGUGUGCUAGGCUCAUUAACCGUUUUUUCUUACACCUCCCAUACUUUGUAAAUAAUUCUUAAACUAUGUAAAUAAAGUUUGUGUUGCUACUAUUUAAUUUAA